Molecule: ribosomal RNA, 497 nt
Filed under: uncultured bacterium
Lineage: Bacteria
Description: partial 16S ribosomal RNA
Rfam family: Bacterial small subunit ribosomal RNA
Source: RNAcentral
GAUGAACGCUGGCGGCGUGCCUAAUACAUGCAAGUCGAGCGAACAGACGAGGAGCUUGCUCCUUUGACGUUAGCGGCGGACGGGUGAGUAACACGUAGGUAACCUACCUAUAAGACUGGGAUAACUUCGGGAAACCGGAGCUAAUGCCGGAUAAUAUUUCGAACCGCAUGGUUCGAUAGUGAAAGAUGGCUUUGCUAUCACUUAUAGAUGGACCUGCGCCGUAUUAGCUAGUUGGUAAGGUAACGGCUUACCAAGGCAACGAUACGUAGCCGACCUGAGAGGGUGAUCGGCCACACUGGAACUGAGACACGGUCCAGACUCCUACGGGAGGCAGCAGUAGGGAAUCUUCCGCAAUGGGCGAAAGCCUGACGGAGCAACGCCGCGUGAGUGAUGAAGGUCUUCGGAUCGUAAAACUCUGUUAUUAGGGAAGAACAAACGUGUAAGUAACUGUGCACGUCUUGACGGUACCUAAUCAGAAAGCCACGGCUAACUACGUG